Molecule: unclassified non-coding RNA, 727 nt
Filed under: Amphimedon queenslandica
Lineage: Eukaryota; Metazoa; Porifera; Demospongiae; Haplosclerida; Niphatidae
Description: uncharacterized LOC109591714, transcript variant X1
Source: RNAcentral
GUCCCCAUGGAAACCUCCUGGGAUGUUCCCUGCUCUGUUCUUCUUUGCUCAUGGUCCACUGAUAUGGUCAGUCUAUUACUGGAGGAAUGCAUUUGUACCUCAUUCAUCAGAGAAGAUGUGUACACUGUUCAUUCAUAUAGCACCAGCAAUGGUCACUUGGAGCAUCAGGUGGUACAGUACCCCCAGAUCAAGGGUUUGAGUUGUGUGCUAAUCCAACAGAGCCUGGAGUUAAUGGAUGCAACAGCAAUGGUUGGGAUGAACUGAUACUCUAUCCAUUUAUAAUAUAUGGAAUAUGGGUAUUCUGCUAUAUACUAAUAGUGUUCUAUUGGAAGGAAAAGAUUAUAAAAGAAAAGAAUUACAUGACAGCAUUCACAAUAAUGUCACAAGAGAAGAAAGGUGGUCUUAUAUAUUCAAUUACUAACUGUCUGGGACUAAAGUAUCAGAAACAAAUGUACUUUGUUGCUUACACAGUAAUGGGAUGCCUCUUCUUCAUACUAGCAUACUUAUGCUUUAUAUCGUUAGUGUAUAAUUACAUUUUCUUUCUGGGGUUUGUCCUGAUUGCCUGUUACAAUGGAGCUACUUUCUAUAUCAAGGUUGUUGGGAAAGAAUAUUAUAAAAAUGAAGAAAAGAAAAAUGAAUAAAUUAAAAGUUUAUGCCUGCUGAUGUCAUUUUGUUAUUACACCAGUGCAUCAUUUAAUUCCAUUUUAUUGCAAUGUGUUAAAAUUGA